CUUUUACGACGGAGCCUAAGAUAUUCUUUGUCUUGUCGGUGAGUGAGUUACAGUCGGAUGACCAAGUGAAAUAUAGGGGUGCAACGAGGAUUUGGAGGCUUCUGAGACUUGAACUUAGGGUACUGGUGUAAACUUCCUCGGAGAAGUGCGCAGCAGCUAAUGAUAUUUCGGGAUUGGAGUCUGGGCCCCAGUGAGAUUCGUACUAAGCGGCCUGACUGAAGGCCGCAUGCGUUCUAGUUCCUGAGUCCCCGCGUGGGUAGGUUUUUACAGCAGGGUUUGCAGCCUUUUGUGCUGUUCCGAAGGUACUAGAGUCACCGAAAGAGACAUCCUAUUAUAUGCACGUUCACAAGGACAAUGGCGCCAUUGUUCUUCGCGUCUUCAAAGCAGCUACAAGAAGAAACCAAGAUGGAGGGGAGCCCAAAGCAUCUGAGAGAAUUGAUAAAUGAAAGAAACAUGCUUAAAACAUGACCGUUUUAAAGGUGAAUGCUGACCAGUGAGAUGCCAGCCUGCGUGUGAAGAUCCUACAGCAGAAGUGCAUGGCCAGUGACACAAGAACUUGCGAGAGAUGCCAGUCCGCCUGUGAAGAUCCUGCAGCAGGAGUGCAUGCUGGAGGAGAGUGUUGAAUUCCCUGGAGCUGGAGUUACAUGAGAUGGUCUUACCUCAGCAGAACAUCAUGGGAGUCUGCUUCAGGAAAACAUCACAUGAGUCUGCAUCACAUAACACAACCAGAAAAUUCCACUACAACCACUCACCUGAAUUACUCUUUCACCUCUAAAUAGAAGGCCUCAUUGCCCCCCCAAUCCAAUGGAGUCCAACGGAAUCCAUGGCCUCUGCAUCAGCUCCAGCCUCUAGGGUCUGCCUGAUUUGAGUUCCUGGUUUGGCUUUCCUCAGUGGACUGUGGCUCAGGAUACAUGAGUCAAAUGAACCCUUUGGUCCUAGAGUUCCUUUUGGAUGUGCUGUUUCGCAUCACAGUGGUAGUAACUCUAAAUAAGACAACCAUGUUGCUGGGCAGUGGUGAAACACACCUUUAAUCCCAGCAUUUGGGAGGCAGAGGCAAGCGAAUUUCUGAGUUCGAGGCCAGCCUGGUCUACAGAGUGAGUUCCAGGACACCCAGGGCUACACAGAGAGACCCUGUCUCAAACCUACCCCUCAACCCCUCCAAAAAAGACAACCAUGUUGAUCACUUCCUUCUUGGAUGUUUUUUCCCUUUGGUGUAUGUAACACAAUCCUCACUGUGUUUUCUUAACUUUAUCUCCUUGCUCCUCAGCUUCUUUUGAAGAUCAGUCUUCUACAUCUCUGCUGAUGUUACUUAAUGUUCUGUACCAGGUUUCCCCCUGUUCCAACUAAGCUAGCAUUCCCAGGAUUCUGUCUUUUUGAGACAAUGUUUCUAUUUAGUUCAGGCUAGCCUUGAACUCACCAUAGAAUUAAGGAGGGCCCUAUACAGAGAAACCCUGUCUCAAAAAACAAAAAACAAAAAAAAA
This 1481-nucleotide long non-coding RNA is filed under the name Mus musculus (house mouse). Its description in RNAcentral is "small nucleolar RNA host gene 5". The record is from RNAcentral. Lineage: Eukaryota; Metazoa; Chordata; Mammalia; Rodentia; Muridae.